UGUAAUUCCUAUGAGGAAGCCAUAGGGAUAGCAGUCAAUAUGGGGUCAGACGUGACCAGUGAGACAGAGGUUUUACUGAGAGACGACAAGGUAUUGAAUAAAUGGGACAUUCCGAGAGAAAGAUAAAAUGGAUGUACCUGUGAGUUUCUCAGCAAUAGGUUUGAACUCCUCCGGACUGAGAUAAAGGUCAUGGUCGGUAUCUAA
This is a long non-coding RNA of Etheostoma cragini (Arkansas darter), 204 nucleotides long. RefSeq lists it as uncharacterized. The record is from RefSeq and is a predicted model, not a curated record. NCBI's taxonomy places the organism in Eukaryota, Metazoa, Chordata, Actinopteri, Perciformes, Percidae. The transcript has 2 exons.